AGUGAACGCUGGCGGUAGGCCUAACACAUGCAAGUCGAACGGCAGCACAGUAAGAGCUUGCGCUUACGGGUGGCGAGUGGCGGACGGGUGAGGAAUACAUCGGAAUCUACGGUUUCGUGGGGGAUAACGUAGGGAAACUUACGCUAAUACCGCAUACGACCUACGGGUGAAAGCAGGGGAUCUUCGGACCUUGCGCGAUUGAAUGAGCCGAUGUCGGAUUAGCUAGUUGGCGGGGUAAAGGCCCACCAAGGCGACGAUCCGUAGCUGGUCUGAGAGGAUGAUCAGCCACACUGGAACUGAGACACGGUCCAGACUCCUACGGGAGGCAGCAGUGGGGAAUAUUGGACAAUGGGCGCAAGCCUGAUCCAGCCAUACCGCGUGGGUGAAGAAGGCCUUCGGGUUGUAAAGCCCUUUUGUCGGGAACGAAAAGCAGCAGGUUAAUACCCCGCUGUUCUGACGGUACCCAAAGAAUAAGCACCGGCUAACUUCGUG
This 492-nucleotide ribosomal RNA is filed under the name uncultured bacterium. RNAcentral describes it as "partial 16S ribosomal RNA". It matches the Rfam family "Bacterial small subunit ribosomal RNA", at positions 29 to 507 of the family's 1533-position model. The record is from RNAcentral.